RNAcentral lists this long non-coding RNA (396 nucleotides) under Lupinus mutabilis. Its description in RNAcentral is "partial ncRNA". Lineage: Eukaryota; Viridiplantae; Streptophyta; Magnoliopsida; Fabales; Fabaceae. The record is from RNAcentral.
UGCUUUUCUCCCCCUUCUGUUUGAUUUAAAGGGUUUUCCUCUAUCUCAGUAUUUCCGGACAUUGGAUCACGAUUUGUUGCUUUGAAAGAUUGUCCGAAUUUGUUUUCAUUAUCAGAACCAUCUACAUGACCCGUACCCUCUCUAAGUGAUGGUUCUCCACUUGAAUCCUUAGCUUUUCUCGUUGCUAUUUUUUUCUUCUCUGAUUUUACAGGUUCAGCCAUUCGAUUCGCAUCAACUACUUUUGAAAUAUCAUUUGCUUCUAUGACGUUUGCACUCGUGUUAUCCUGGUUGGAUGGAAGGCUCUCUUCUAAAAGCAUUGGCUUAGGAGCAUUUUGUGGUGAUCCUUCCCUUACUUCCUCAGCUCCCUCAGACUGACCAGCAUCACUUUUAUGGCAA